CGUGUGCUUACAAGUAGUCAGAGCCCGUUAAUGGGUGAUGGCGUGCCUUUUGUAGAAUGAACCGGCGAGUUACGAUUUGAUGCAAGGUUAAGCAGUAAAUGUGGAGCCGUAGCGAAAGCGAGUCUGAAUAGGGCGUUUAGUAUUUGGUCGUAGACCCGAAACCAGGUGAUCUACCCUUGGUCAGGUUGAAGUUCAGGUAACACUGAAUGGAGGACCGAACCGACUUACGUUGAAAAGUGAGCGGAUGAACUGAGGGUAGCGGAGAAAUUCCAAUCGAACCUGGAGAUAGCUGGUUCUCUCCGAAAUAGCUUUAGGGCUAGCCUCAAGUGAUGAUUAUUGGAGGUAGAGCACUGUUUGGACGAGGGGCCCCUCUCGGGUUACCGAAUUCAGACAAACUCCGAAUGCCAAUUAAUUUAACUUGGGAGUCAGAACAUGGGUGAUAAGGUCCGUGUUCGAAAGGGAAACAGCCCAGACCACCAGCUAAGGUCCCAAAAUAUAUGUUAAGUGGAAAAGGAUGUGGCGUUGCCCAGACAACUAGGAUGUUGGCUUAGAAGCAGCCAUCAUUUAAAGAGUGCGUAAUAGCUCACUAGUCGAGUGACACUGCGCCGAAAAUGUACCGGGGCUAAACAUAUUACCGAAGCUGUGGAUUGUCCUUUGGACAAUGGUAGGAGAGCGUUCUAAGGGCGUUGAAGCAUGAUCGUAAGGACAUGUGGAGCGCUUAGAAGUGAGAAUGCCGGUGUGAGU
This 744-nucleotide ribosomal RNA is filed under the name Staphylococcus aureus. RNAcentral describes it as "partial 23S ribosomal RNA". It matches the Rfam family "Bacterial large subunit ribosomal RNA", at positions 557 to 1307 of the family's 2925-position model. Lineage: Bacteria; Bacillati; Bacillota; Bacilli; Caryophanales; Staphylococcaceae. The record is from RNAcentral.